UGGGUAGAAUUCCAGUGGCCCUGACUGAAGACCAGCAGUUGUACUGUGGCUGUUGGUUUCAAGCAGAGGCCUAAAGGACUGUCUUCCUGUGGUCUGUUGGCUGUUCU
Molecule: microRNA precursor, 107 nt
Organism: Pongo abelii (Sumatran orangutan)
Lineage: Eukaryota; Metazoa; Chordata; Mammalia; Primates; Hominidae
Source: Ensembl